RNAcentral lists this long non-coding RNA (1038 nucleotides) under Rhinopithecus roxellana (golden snub-nosed monkey). Its description in RNAcentral is "lncRNA (ENSRROG00000045951.1)". The record is from RNAcentral. Lineage: Eukaryota; Metazoa; Chordata; Mammalia; Primates; Cercopithecidae.
AUGGCAAGAAAUGGACACUGUCCCUGCCCUCAGAAGAUUAUCCUCAAGUCUGAUGGAUAUAAUAGCCCAAUGCUAUACAGGUGGUUGCUGUCCUGUGUCACCCUGUGCAGAUCAAACUAUUAUAAACCUCCAGUGUUCUCUGGCUGCCAUGGGAUCCAUGACUCCUGGGACGACUCAGCCAAUUACAGAUGGCGGGACCCUUGGAAGUGCAUCUGCUACACUGGCUCCUUGAUUUCCACAGCAGGCAUCCUAUCAUCAACGGAAGUCAAUUUCAUCCACCUGAUGGGAAAACACCACAUCCUUAGUCAAUGGAAUCGCUCCCUCUGAAACUGACGUUCCACACAAGCAAAUGACCAACUGUGCUGGCGCUGGUGCAGGAUUAAAGAUGAUGAUCCUAUCUUAUGUUUCUACCACCACUCAUCAUUUCUAAGCCAUCAUCAUACAGAAACCACUUGAUCUGCUUCUGAUUCGAGUCUCUUCAGGGGUGGAAGCGUAAUGGCCAGGGACACCAAUAGCUCACAGCCCCUGCAUGCCUGUGAGGAAGGAAACAUCCAGCCCAGAGCCUGGGAUAAACUUUGCUCUGCAGAAAUCGCCCUGAGAUAUUAAAUGUCCACAAAGAGCAGAUGGGAGCCCUUGCUUCUCAGAGUUCUUCCUCCAAAGGCCUCUCACUUCCAGCAUCUGGGGAUUAGCCCUGACCCCCUCUGAAGGAGGAAAGGCUGAGUUGAUUUUGUUUCUGUUCCAGUCGGAGGCUUUGCUCUGACUCCAACUAAGAAGGGUGGGCCACAGCCUGGGUGGGAGCAAAAAGGUUCUCUUCAUAGCCCUGCUGCUGGUGUGGGCUGCUCUUUUCACUCUCUGGACCUGUCUCCCCAUCUGUGAAAUGGGGCAAGGAUGCUGACCACAGAUAAAUUUUUGAGAUUGAAUUUCUGUGUUCAGGGCUUUGAAAUCAAGAACAAAAGAGAUAAUUUGAUCAUAAAGCAUUGUUAGUAUUUUGCACCCACUUCUCUCUGUACUCUAUUGUUCUCUGCUAUAGAAUCUUCU